AUACUUUCCUGUCAGGGGAGAUACCAUCAUCAGGAAGUUGGUUUUCCCAGGGCAAAACUUAUCAAUUGCACCCCAGAUGUGCGGACCCCUGUGAUUUCCCCAAACAUGGGAAACUCAACUGCAUAAUUUGUGGUAGUGGGGGACUGCAUUCGUGCUCUCCCCAG
Small nuclear RNA from Pteronotus mesoamericanus, 164 nucleotides. RefSeq annotates it as U1 spliceosomal RNA. The record is from RefSeq and is a predicted model, not a curated record. NCBI's taxonomy places the organism in Eukaryota, Metazoa, Chordata, Mammalia, Chiroptera, Mormoopidae. The transcript has a single exon.